CGGGUUCUGCCCUUCUCGUUCAUGGUUGCAUUCCGGUGGCCUUAAGCAAUUCCGAGGGAGUUGGCUCUGUCCGGGCCCUGGUUCGGUUACCUGACGCCCACCUGUACAUACAGGUCCUCGGGAAUGAGAAAACCCCACGGUUGUGGUGGUUCCCGC
RNAcentral lists this small RNA (156 nucleotides) under Puniceibacterium sp. IMCC21224. RNAcentral describes it as "6S / SsrS RNA". The record is from RNAcentral. Lineage: Bacteria; Pseudomonadati; Pseudomonadota; Alphaproteobacteria; Rhodobacterales; Paracoccaceae.